Molecule: ribosomal RNA, 500 nt
Filed under: uncultured Glomeromycotina
Lineage: Eukaryota; Fungi; Glomeromycota
Description: partial small subunit ribosomal RNA
Rfam family: Eukaryotic small subunit ribosomal RNA
Source: RNAcentral
CCAAUAGCGUAUAUUAAAGUUGUUGCAGUUAAAAAGCUCGUAGUUGAAUUUCGGGGUCAGUAGGUCGGUCGUGCCUACGGUAUGUACUGGUCUCACUGAUUCCUCCUUCUUGAAGAACCGUAAUGUCAUUAACUUGGUGUUGCGGGGAAACAGGACUGUUACUUUGAAAAAAUUAGAGUGUUUAAAGCAGGCCAACGCCUGAAUACAUUAGCAUGGAAUAAUGAAAUAGGACGUUCGAUCCUAUUUUGUUGGUUUCUAGGAUUGACGUAAUGAUUAAUAGGGAUAGUUGGGGGCAUUAGUAUUCAAUUGUCAGAGGUGAAACUCUUGGAUUUAUUGAAGACUAACUACUGCGAAAGCAUUUGCCAAGGGUGUUUUCAUUAAUCAAGAACGAAAGUUAGGGGAUCGAAGACGAUCAGAUACCGUCGUAGUCUUAACCAUAAACUAUGCCGACUAGGGAUCGGAUGAUGUUAAUUUUUUAAUGACUCAUUCGGCGCCUUACG